UGAACCUAAGACAAGUCCGUUUGUGUUGCGUGGCGUGAUUCGUGUGAAACACCUUCGAGUCUUCGAUCUUCUUGGGCGCCGCCAACGCGCCGGCGCCCUCCGCCCCUGCGCCUCAGCCUGGUACCGUGCCUGUGCCGUUCUGGUCCUCCGCCCUCCGCAUCUGCCUGGUACCGUGCUAGUGCCGCCUUCGCAUCCGUCCUCCGCCUGGGUCUCCGCCCUCCGCGGCUCCGCCUUGCGACUUUACCCUGCACGGCCCGCCGCCGGCCGGUCGCCCGUCCGGAGCCACUGACCCGAGUUUCCGUCCAGCACUCCAGCGACCAGCGCCUGUUCGUCCAGAGUACCAACAGAUCUCGUCAAGAGAGUUUGGCCCGAGGACUUUUCUUGCAUAUCCAUAGACAAGCUCAGCUUCAUACACAGUGAACCAAACAAGAGAAAAAGCAAGAAGAGCCUGGCUGCGUCCAUACGGUCUACAACCAAAUACAUCGUCGCUCAUAAAGCCUAGUUGUCCUAUAUGCGGGCAACCAAUCACGUCCAAGGUCUGAAGGAUGAGGAAAGGACUGCAUCCUCAGAUGCAAUGGAUUUCAUAUGUGACGCAGAGUGGUAGGCUGAUCAAUAUCAUGAUGACCAAGGUGAAUCAUACUGGCAAAGUGUACCACAUGAGGGCCAAGCGGCAAAUGGCUCAAAGCCUCGGCCAGAUUGCGAAGUUCAAACGUCGAUAUGAGCAGGAAGCAGAGAAAAGCAAAGACAAGUAGGAUGGUGUUGGGAAGGAGGUGUAGCCUCUGUGGUCUUAGUCAGUUCUGUUGACUGCGAAGUUUUCAGCUAAGGAUCUUCGAUUGAAUGAUUUUAUUUUAGAUCACAUCAUCUUUUGCUCCACUUCAUAAUUGUGUUGUACCCCAUCUUGAGCAAACACUUUGGCACUUGUUGCACCUUAAAGCCCCAAGAAGAUAGUCUAUGGAUCGCCUUUGCUCUGACGUUCGAGUUUUAUGGUUUAUAUUUCUCCAUGUUAUUAUGUUUGAUGAUAUUGUUUUA
Molecule: long non-coding RNA, 1029 nt
Organism: Zea mays
Lineage: Eukaryota; Viridiplantae; Streptophyta; Magnoliopsida; Poales; Poaceae
Exons: 3
Source: RefSeq, a predicted model, not a curated record